RNAcentral lists this ribosomal RNA (465 nucleotides) under Vreelandella stevensii. RNAcentral describes it as "partial 16S ribosomal RNA". It matches the Rfam family "Bacterial small subunit ribosomal RNA", at positions 338 to 795 of the family's 1533-position model. The record is from RNAcentral. Lineage: Bacteria; Pseudomonadati; Pseudomonadota; Gammaproteobacteria; Oceanospirillales; Halomonadaceae.
CCUACGGGCGGCAGCAGUGGGGAAUAUUGGACAAUGGGCGAAAGCCUGAUCCAGCCAUGCCGCGUGUGUGAAGAAGGCCUUCGGGUUGUAAAGCACUUUCAGUGGGGAAGAAAGCCUUGGGGCUAAUACCCUCGAGGAAGGACAUCACCCACAGAAGAAGCACCGGCUAACUCCGUGCCAGCAGCCGCGGUAAUACGGAGGGUGCGGGCGUUAAUCGGAAUUACUGGGCGUAAAGCGCGCGUAGGCGGUCUGAUAAGCCGGUUGUGAAAGCCCCGGGCUCAACCUGGGAACGGCAUCCGGAACUGUCAGGCUAGAGUGCAGGAGAGGAAGGUAGAAUUCCGGGUGUAGCGGUGAAAUGCGUAGAGAUCGGGAGGAAUACCAGUGGCGAAGGCGGCCUUCUGGACUGACACUGACGCUGAGGUGCGAAAGCGUGGGUAGCAAACAGGAUUAGAUACCCCUGUAGUC